GAUGAACGCUGGCGGCGUGCCUAACACAUGCAAGUCGAACGGUUAAGGCGGCUUCGGCCGCGGAUAAAGUGGCGAACGGGUGAGUAACGCGUGACCGACCUUCCCCCCGCACCGGGACAACCGCGGGAAACCGCGGCUGAUACCGGGUACUCCGGGGCCCCCGCAUGGGGGCCCCGGGAAAGCUCCGGCGGCGGGGGAUGGGGUCGCGUCCCAUCAGGUAGUAGGCGGGGCAACGGCCCACCUAGCCGACGACGGGUAGCCGGGUUGAGAGACCGACCGGCCACAUUGGGACUGAGAUACGGCCCAGACUCCUACGGGAGGCAGCAGUGGGGAAUUUUGCGCAAUGGGGGCAACCCUGACGCAGCAACGCCGCGUGCGGGACGACGACCUUCGGGUUGUAAACCGCUUUCAGCAGGGAAGAACCUCUGACGGUA
This 434-nucleotide ribosomal RNA is filed under the name uncultured bacterium. Its description in RNAcentral is "bacterial SSU rRNA". It matches the Rfam family "Bacterial small subunit ribosomal RNA", at positions 28 to 477 of the family's 1533-position model. The record is from RNAcentral.